Molecule: transfer RNA, 57 nt
Filed under: Flavobacteriaceae bacterium
Lineage: Bacteria; Pseudomonadati; Bacteroidota; Flavobacteriia; Flavobacteriales; Flavobacteriaceae
Description: tRNA-His
Rfam family: tRNA
About the family: Transfer RNA (tRNA) molecules are approximately 80 nucleotides in length. Their secondary structure includes four short double-helical elements and three loops (D, anti-codon, and T loops).
Source: RNAcentral
UAGCUCAGUUGGUUAGAGCGCCUGAUUGUGGUUCAGGAGGUCGUCGGUUCGAGACCG